ACCUUUUAUGGUUUUGCUGUUAUUUUUUUUUAUGGUGAUUGUGCAGCAUUAUGUUGCGUUAAAGCAUGUUGUGCUCGUGCAUCUACCGUUGUCCUACUUGGUAAAACAGCUUUCACGUCUAUUGAAACUUCGUAUAAAUGGCUUCAAGCUGCUUCUCUACACGUAUCAAGAAUGCCUGCAACCUUGCUUUCUACAUGAAAUUCCCGAGUAUUGCCUAAGCAGCCCGUCUGUGAUGAGAAACUGGAACUAUAGUAAUCCCUGCGAUGCCAGAUCAAAUUAUGUGGAUUUCCUUCCAAGGACACAUGAUAUCAACUUGAACAUGGAGACUGGAUAUUUGCUAUCGACUACAAGAAUCAACUUUGCUUCCAAGGAAAUUCUUCCAUGCUCUGAAAUCAAGAUUUCUUGCUGGAUGGUAGCAUCAGAUGUUGAAGUAACUUUUACAUGCUUUGACUUCGUAAAGGGCACCAUAUUUUGCUAAAUUCAAAUGCCUUAAUAUAAAAUGAAUAUGUAAACACGAAAUCAAUUUUUUAGUAAGCAGUCGUAUCUUUAAAAAUACUUCAAGCUGUAUUCUAAAACUAGCUUUAACUUAACCGAUAGUGAAUUGGUUCUAUAUCAAAUAGGGAACUUCAAGCUGCAUCUAUUAAUAUUUCAAAAUUCCUUGUAGAUUUUAAAUUCUUUAAAACUUAAAGUUAAGCAGAGAAUUCCAUCUUAAAUUCGAUUGAAUGAAACGGACAAUUACAAGACACUUCCAUCCAAGUGAUAAGAUAGUACAAAUCUUUGAACCGCUUCCCCUCUUGUUUCACUUUAAUAUGAAGUUCGGUAUUGUAAGCAGCAAAUGAUAAAUGCCAAUCCCGUACGAGAUGUAUAUCAAACCUCCAAGUUUAAUGUUGUGUAUACUUAACAUGACAGACAUUAUGAUCUCUAAAGUACAUUCUGGCACUACAAAAUUCAAAUGCUAUUCAGCACUCGCUUGAUAGUUAGUCGAAAUCGCUCGGUUAGUACAAGAUGCAUCAUUCAAAUGCUUUAUGUAAUAGAGUCUGAUAGGCUAGAUAAACUGUCUCAUUCCAUAGAAUAUCCACUUUGAAUGUUUUAAAAUCGAUAUUAACAAGCUUCAGAUUUUUAAGUCGACCUCUAAUAUUCAGUAAUGAAUGAAUCUCUAGAAAUUCCGUUCUUUUUAAAUCAAUCGAAAUCUCCUUGAUGUGUCCUGGAUUUAAACUUUAUUGGAAAAACAUUUGAUCUAUAUUUCGAGCAGAUUUUCCAAUAAGAUGUCAAGUAAAUAAAGUCUGUAAUCUCUUGUAUAAUCAAGCUCUUAUAAAGUCUGACCUCUAUUACAAAUUAGAGUACAUAAAUUCUUUAAAAAUUCUUUAAAUCAUUAAAAACGGGAAGCUCCCAUAAAACGAGUUUGCAUAAAACGAGUCUACACAAAGUACUGUUAAAUCGAUGAGUCUUCAAAUUUAACUGAGCUUUAAUAUCUUGAUUUUUGGUAGGAAUAUUAGCGCAUUCGUAAGCGUGGUUUAACUUGAUUGUAUAAUAAAGAUUAAAUUGAAUGGGAUGAGUAGCCCAAAUUCCUUGGAUAAAAAUUAUAAUUACGAGUACGGAAAUAUAGGAUUUCGGACAGAACGAUACAAUUAAUCGAAUUUGAUUAAAAUAUAAAUGUUUUCGAUGCCAAUGUCAAAAGUAAAAAUUGCAUUUGACUGGUUUAUUAAAUGGGGAGGAUUUGAUGGGGUUCGGAUAGAGAAAUUAACACUUUAAAUACGGGUCCCUGUUUACUUUCCGUCUAGGCUGUUCGGGACCGGCGGUCUAAGUGGAAAGUAUCGGUCCCCAGGGAUCCGGCAUUUAACGUGUUUAUGACGAAUUGGGAUGUUAAGCACUUUUGAAUAGCAAACUGUAGCAAUCACGCGAAUCUAAUUGACGGGAGAAAGCAUUAUCGCGUCAAAUGAUUGAAUUUUAAAAUAUCGUGUUUAUAGAUUUGAACCAGCAAAAUGCAAUUUGUGCUUGAAGCAUUGGUAGCGAUUACAAAAAUUGUAUCGGAGAUUAGGGUUACUGAUGAAUUUAAAAUCUAGUUCGGAAAUUUCCAUUUCACUCGUUUGUGAAUAGAAAUAUUAAUUGGAAGGAAAACGGUAGUGUCUGGCUUUGUAAUGCGUGAAUUUUUUUCUAUAUACAUGAAAGAUUAAAUUAUUUGAAUAUCUGACUUUCUAAAUUUAGAUUUCAACAAAAAGACAAUGAUGCGAGUACUUACAGACGUAUCUUUUAGCGGAUUUUUGGCUAGAAUCAAGUUAAAUUUUAUGACUAAUCGUUGUGUAAUAAACAAAUAUUUUUAACUAAAGUUGAUUUAUAAUUUAAAUUUUAAACCGGUUGCACUUCAAAAGUUAGCUACAUAAUGGCUUGAGGUAACUUAAGAAUGAAAUGCUAAAUUUUAAUCGCCAAAUCACCCUUCUCCCUUAUUUUUGGCCAAACCUUCUGUAGAUUAAAUAGCUUAUUCUUAGCAGCACUUUUAAAUGUGACUCUUUAAACUGUCGUGAAUUUAAUUCGAAAGCCAGUGUUACAAAACUCGUAGUCGCCUCGCCGGUACUUAUGAAGUAGCUUCAGUUCAAAUAAUUCCUUUAAACUGAAUAAAAACAUUUGCUGAAAUUGCGAUAGUUGGUAAGAUCGCGUUAGUUUUCUAACGCUCUUCCAACUCUUAUAGCCUUCUUCCCCACAGUAUGUAAUCCGGAUUGUUUUGCUACUAUUAGCAUAAUCCUUGUAUUUUAAUUCAGAUACAGAAAUUGAAGAAAAUUCAGUAAAUAUUUUUUACGCUUGAAUUUUAGUUGAAGCUUCUGCAGUAGUCCACUUCGUACCCUACCCGGUUGCAAUAGAUCCAUUAGAAGUCAAAAUCGCUGUGUUAAAAUUGUCCGUUUCUUUCGAGUCUAAAGUUUUGUUUAAAUUCAUUUAAUUUAAUAUUCAAUUAAAACGACUCGGGUUUCCUGAUAUCAGUUACAUUAAACGUAUCGUCUUCAAAAAAACUAAUACGCAGCACAAAUCGUUCCAACUUGUAUCGCUCUUUUAGAUGUUGCCAAUAUCCUUAAUCAUAGUAUUACUCGUCUUUAAUAAAUUUAGUGUGUAUAUUUAAUUGGACAUAAUCUUGAAGUUCCCUUACUAUUUUAAAUCUUUGUUUAUGUCGAUCUGUAUACUUUUAGCCGUGCAUGUUUUACUGGCUGCUUUAUCACGUCUUGAAAUUCCUACGCAUCGUAGGAAAUGCUACUUCUUGAUGACCCUGGAUUUUUAUGAAUGUAUUGUUAUUGUAUAAAAUGCUUCAAAUAUAAAAGCAAUCAAAUAUCACUUUUGUAAUUGUAACUUUAUAUUAAAUUUUAAUUGCAUAUUAAUAUUAAACUACAUGUUUAGGCUGGAUGAUGCAUGUUAGACAGGAUUUGCUUUAGACAAUCUUGAAAGUUAAUCGUGAGUAUUCAAAUAUUUGAACGUUAUUUGGCAAGAGAUCAGCAAAUUUGGGAUCGCCAGAAAAUUGUAAAUCCGAACUAGAAUUUAUAAUUGUUUUCUACAUCUUAAAUUUUAAUUUUUUUUGAUGCUGAAGUAGUAUUUUUAAAUUAAAAUCUUUAUGCUCUAAACUCUUUCCCCACAUGCCUUUAAUCAGUAGAGCUGCCUAACAAUACUUUAAAAGAAUGCAUAAUAUUUCUUAAAGGCUAGGUUAGGGAAAUAUUUCGUAUGGGCAAUAGUAUGCAAUAUUUGGCAAGGGAUAACUUGAGUUUUACUAAAUUCUAGAUAUUUUUAAAAAUAUACAAAUAAAUGCAAAAGUUAAAACUUUAAUCAACCCCAACUUUGCUUGCAUUUUAACAUUCUAAGUCAAACUAAUUUCAGUCUGGUGUCUUAAAUAGUCCAAACAGAAUAGCAAUUAGUUAUCGCUGUAGUAAAAAUUGAUUAGUCUAACCUAGUAUUAAUCAAAUAACGCCAAAUGCAUAAAUUAAUAAAGACCUUUUGGUAUCGAAUUUGAUAACAAAGAGCAGGUGUUAGAUGACCUACAGACUAAUUUAAAUUUUUAAUGAGCUUACUCCUAGUGUUCCAAAUGUUUUAAGUUGCAAUUUCAAAUUCCACUAAAAAAAUUUAAUUAUUUACCGUGGUCAAUAAAUAUUCAAAUUUUGUAGCUUAAUUUUUUGAUCCAUUCAAUCCUAAAGUAAAUCAUCCUGCAAUAUUCAAGAAAAUUUAGCUCUUGAAGCUGUAUUUUUCAAUGUCUUAAUCUUUAAGGUGUCAACCAAGCAAGUCCUCUAUUGUUCACAUUAAUAUUUAAACAAGUUGCAUCGCAAAUCUCGCGAUAAAUUCCGACGUUCCAUUAUAGGACUUAAUUUUUGUAUUGAACAGCUAUAAUCCAAAGCAUUCGAACAUUAAUAUGAACUUAACGGAAUUUUUCAGCUGAAAGCGGUCCGUAACUUCGCCGGCAAGUGAACGGUCCACCUUCUGCUUGUGAGGAUGAAAGAAGCGUUUUGAUUGUGAUGCCUGGCCAACAUCGUGAUCAAAACCUUUCGAAUAAAAUUAAGUUCGGUCAUUUUAAUAGAAACCCAUAGAAAUUUAACUAAAACAUAUUAAAUAUCCAAUUUUGAUUGUAGAAUUUGGCAAAUAUUAAUAUCUUAAUUUUUUUUCAAUGACAUGGUAAUCUUGAAUGUCUUCCUUAAAUGUUAAACGAAUAGAUAAGCUUGUCGUACACCAUAAUUUUAGGUGAUGUCCAUAUUUCAAUUUCUAGAAAGAGCAAAAAUUAGUGUUGAAUAAUGGAACUUGCCUGGUUGAUAUUGGAUAGAUAGCUUGCAUUAUCCCCUACACUUUCAUAUAGAUUGGCAAUGUUAGCUCUAAUUAUGCUUUGCAUUCGUCAAAAAAACUUCGUUAAUCUCAUCUGAUAAGGCAAGUUUCUCCUUUCUCCAAUAUGCAAGGAUACUUUAUUCCAAAACUUCCCCUAAACCUGCAGUUUUACGAACUUUCAAAAAGGUGUUAAAAAUUGACAUUUAUUGCAAAAACUAAUGACUACAGAUUGGCAUAUGUAGUGUAUUACAGAACGUUCAUUUUAAUCGGAAUGAGAUUUAACUGAAAUUCAUAAUUUUCCUGCUUGUCUGUUUUGUGAAACGCUAAAUUUUACGAUCUCAACUAUAGAAUAUUCCUAGGAAAAUCGGGUUUUGAAAGAAAAUAUUCUGCAGAUAUCAGUUUUGCUUUCCCACUUUCGAGGUAAAAUGCUAAAUAAUGGGGUAAACUAAAUUAUACUGCUGUUCUGUAGUUUUGCAAGAUAUAUUUUAAAACAUUUAGUUUGCGUUCAAAUAUCGUCCUAAAUUCUAAAUGUAAAUUAAAAUGUUGGCAGCGAUAUUUGCAAACGAUCAAUAUUGAUUUGACUCGAUUUCCUUUAAAAAGUACACUUGUACUAUAAUGAAAUCAUUCAUACCAGGGAAUCGUUUCCAAUACCAUAAUUUGUUCAGAUAUUGGCUCAGGAUUUAAAUUCGAUAGUUGCCUAGAUAAAUUUAAUUAAUCAGUAAUCUUGAUUAAUGAACACUGUCAGUAGCUGUGCUAGCCGGUUACUUGGCAGUCAUCCAAAUUCCUGCUGGCAUUUUGAACUCUAUGCCUGAUCAGCAUCGAAGUCGAAAUGUUUUGGAAUUUGAAGGCUAUCGGUGAAUAAGCAUAAAUUCGGGCAGAAAGUCGAUUUUGAUGGGGGCGAAGGCGGUAACAAACUUCUAUAACACAAAUUCUUACAUUUUGAGAAUAAAACGGUAUCGAAUAUUUGGCAAGUACCACGUUUUUGUUAAUUUUUGCAAUAAAAUUCCAGAUCUUCUAUUCCGCCCUCUCUUAAAUACUUAAAAGAGAAUUGGAAGCACUUUAAUAGCAGAUGAAUUUAAUCGCAAUGUUCAGAUUACAAUCUUUGUAUACAAAUUUCAUGAAGAGGCCUUCCUGUUGGAAUUUCCACAUUUUUAAGUUCGUUUAUCCUUGAAUCACUUUAAACUAGAGCAAUUUUCUGUUAUGGUAGAAGGGAAAAAUAACACACAAAUUAGUUUUAAUUCAUAUUUGGUCUCAUGGUAUAACUUCUCGGAUGCAGCUAUUGCAGUUGUGAUUUAACGGAUUUUCCCGCUGAAAUCGAAACUUAAAAAAGUUGACCAUGGACGCGAUUUUUUUUCCAGAACAUUUCCCAAAUCGUUUUCAAUGUUCCUCUUUCAGCACUUUAAGAUUCGUUUAAUUACCUUGCAAUACGCUAUUGCAAAGCAACUUUCGCUUAAAUACCGAAAUUUAACCGCGACUAAUUUCAAGCAAAACGUUGGAACCUUCUAUGGCAAUGGAAAAAAUCCUUUCAACUGCCGUUGUAAAGAUUCAAUCUCGUUUUCUCUAGUAAAGCCAAAUAACGCCUCUAACUCUGCAUUUCAUGCCUGGGAAAAAUCUUUCGCUACGCGAUGAUAAUAUUUCGGCAUUCUAGAAAGUGAAACGGAUUCGGUGAUUUUUAUUUACAAAAUGCAUCCUUCAGCCUCUUGUAAUUGAAACUAAAAUUUAUAUAAUGCGGUAUCGCAU
Long non-coding RNA from Argiope bruennichi, 6522 nucleotides. RefSeq lists it as uncharacterized. NCBI's taxonomy places the organism in Eukaryota, Metazoa, Arthropoda, Arachnida, Araneae, Araneidae. The record is from RefSeq and is a predicted model, not a curated record. The transcript has 3 exons.